RNAcentral lists this long non-coding RNA (485 nucleotides) under Homo sapiens (human). RNAcentral describes it as "HSALNT0109696". The record is from RNAcentral. Lineage: Eukaryota; Metazoa; Chordata; Mammalia; Primates; Hominidae.
GAGGCUACAUUGAUUGGUUUCGUUAAAGACAGCACAUCUGAAAUGGCAGCUGCACUUGGUUUAACAUGAUUAAAUUUAUGAUAAUCAAAAAUCAUUCUAAAUCUCUGAUGGUGGUACUAAUUUUUGUAUUUCCCUUGGAGAUAUGUUACUGCUUUUGGUUUAUUUCCCUGGUAGGGAAGGCUGGUUGAAGGGGCUUUUAUUUGGCCUUUCCUAGCAUAAUGACCCUUAUUCCGUGGGUCAGACAGCCAAUGUGGAAAUUCGUUUUCCAAGUAUUUCUCUUCCAGUUAUACAUCCAGUAACUGGAAAAUAACCGCAGGUUGUAUUUGUGGACAUACCGUCACACUUAGUUUAAACAGACACGACCACUAGGGGAUUACCCAUCGGGGAUUACCAGAACAAUCACUUUAGCAAAUGCUGCUCAUCCUUUGAAAAACUGUUGGAAGAUUUACAGCAAGGGUCAGCACUUUUUUUCUAUGAAAGGCCAG